This 582-nucleotide ribosomal RNA is filed under the name Salmonella enterica subsp. enterica serovar Typhimurium. RNAcentral describes it as "partial 23S ribosomal RNA". It matches the Rfam family "Bacterial large subunit ribosomal RNA", at positions 2230 to 2811 of the family's 2925-position model. The record is from RNAcentral. Lineage: Bacteria; Pseudomonadati; Pseudomonadota; Gammaproteobacteria; Enterobacterales; Enterobacteriaceae.
GACCCGUAAUCCGGGUUGCGGACAGUGUCUGGUGGGUAGUUUGACUGGGGCGGUCUCCUCCUAAAGAGUAACGGAGGAGCACGAAGGUUGGCUAAUCCUGGUCGGACAUCAGGAGGUUAGUGCAAUGGCAUAAGCCAGCUUGACUGCGAGCGUGACGGCGCGAGCAGGUGCGAAAGCAGGUCAUAGUGAUCCGGUGGUUCUGAAUGGAAGGGCCAUCGCUCAACGGAUAAAAGGUACUCCGGGGAUAACAGGCUGAUACCGCCCAAGAGUUCAUAUCGACGGCGGUGUUUGGCACCUCGAUGUCGGCUCAUCACAUCCUGGGGCUGAAGUAGGUCCCAAGGGUAUGGCUGUUCGCCAUUUAAAGUGGUACGCGAGCUGGGUUUAGAACGUCGUGAGACAGUUCGGUCCCUAUCUGCCGUGGGCGCUGGAGAACUGAGGGGGGCUGCUCCUAGUACGAGAGGACCGGAGUGGACGCAUCACUGGUGUUCGGGUUGUCAUGCCAAUGGCACUGCCCGGUAGCUAAAUGCGGAAGAGAUAAGUGCUGAAAGCAUCUAAGCACGAAACUUGCCCCGAGAUGAGUUC